This is a long non-coding RNA of Macrosteles quadrilineatus (aster leafhopper), 353 nucleotides long. RefSeq lists it as uncharacterized. The record is from RefSeq and is a predicted model, not a curated record. Lineage: Eukaryota; Metazoa; Arthropoda; Insecta; Hemiptera; Cicadellidae. The transcript is spliced from 3 exons.
AUGUAGUAAACAAAAAAUCUCUACAUGUAAACAGAUAACUCCAUCAAAAUUCAGUAUAAGUGUUUUAGGCCACCCAAGGAAAAUUUUUAUGAUUUAUCUCUGUUACUAUUUAUACAAAUUUUUGUUUGCAGCUCUACAUUAGUCGAAAUUCAAGAUGGACGAGGGAAAUAGUAGAAGGUCUCUGUCCCCCUACCAUGAAAAAUGUUUUCCACCUUAUUGUGACAAUGCUCAGCAAAUCGACAAAGCAGUGGUCUCCAAGAUGGACAGAGGAGAUUUGGAAGACAAAUAUAUAGUUUUUGCUGAUGAAAACUUAGAACUGAAAAAGCAAAAUAGAAAUCAAGAACGACAAAUUC